Molecule: ribosomal RNA, 478 nt
Filed under: uncultured bacterium
Lineage: Bacteria
Description: partial 16S ribosomal RNA
Rfam family: Bacterial small subunit ribosomal RNA
Source: RNAcentral
GACGAACGCUGGCGGCAUGCCUAACACAUGCAAGUCGAGCGAGCAGAUCCCUUCGGGGUGAAGCUAGCGGCGGACGGGUGAGUAACACGUGGGCAACCUGCCUCAUAGAGGGGAAUAGCCUUCCGAAAGGAAGAUUAAUACCGCAUAAGAUUGUAGCUUCGCAUGAAGCAGCAAUUAAAGGAGCAAUCCGCUAUGAGAUGGGCCCGCGGGGCAUUAGCUAGUUGGUGAGGUAACGGCGCACCAAGGCGACGAUGCGUAGCCGACCUGAGAGGGUGAUCGGCCACAUUGGGACUGAGACACGGCCCAGACUCCUACGGGAGGCAGCAGUGGGGAAUAUUGCACAAUGGGGGAAACCCUGAUGCAGCAAUGCCGCGUGAGUGAUGACGGCCUUCGGGUUGCAAAGCUCUGUCUUCGGGGACGAUAAUGACGGUACCCGAGGAGGAAGCCACGGCUAACUACGUGCCAGCCGCCGCGGUAA